Molecule: ribosomal RNA, 628 nt
Filed under: Aristolochia tagala
Lineage: Eukaryota; Viridiplantae; Streptophyta; Magnoliopsida; Piperales; Aristolochiaceae
Description: eukaryotic LSU rRNA
Rfam family: 5.8S ribosomal RNA (bases 169-324)
Source: RNAcentral
CGCCCCCCUCGCCGCCGCCUGGGCGCGACCUCGGCGGGCGCCCCCGCCAACGGCCGCGACGGACGAACGGGCAAAAACACUCGGCGCGAUCCGCGCCAAGCGAAACGCAACGCGGGGAGGGCCGCCGCCGCCACGGCGUCCCGCCCCGACUGACGGAUAACCAAACACGACUCUCGGCAACGGAUAUCUUGGCUCUCGCAUCGAUGAAGAACGUAGCGAAAUGCGAUACUUGGUGUGAAUUGCAGAAUCCCGCGAACCAUCGAGUCUUUGAACGCAAGUUGCACCCGCGGCCAUUAGGCCAAGGGUACACCUGCCUGGGCGUCACGCCCGACGCGUUCUCCCCCCGCCCCGCGCUGCCGCGCGGCGGCGGGGGCGAGCAGGCUGGCCGUCCCUGCCCCCCCGGGGUGCGAGGUCGGCUUAAAAGGCAAGCCCCACGGGCUCGCGGCGCGACUACUGGUGGCUCCACGCUCCCCCGGCCUUGGCCGGGCCCGAAGUCGCGCCCGCGAACCCCCCGCUGGAAAGGCUGCGAGGACCCCUGCCGGCUGCCGCGCCUCCGGUAUCGGAUGCGCGCUGCUCGGAAUGCGACCCCAGGUCAGGUGGGAUCACCCGCUGAGUUUAAGCAUAUCAA